RNAcentral lists this ribosomal RNA (460 nucleotides) under uncultured bacterium. RNAcentral's name for it is "partial 16S ribosomal RNA". It matches the Rfam family "Bacterial small subunit ribosomal RNA", at positions 338 to 795 of the family's 1533-position model. The record is from RNAcentral.
CCUACGGGAGGCAGCAGUGAGGAAUAUUGGUCAAUGGACGCAAGUCUGAACCAGCCAUGCCGCGUGAAGGAAGACGGCUCUAUGGGUUGUAAACUUCUUUUGUAGGAGAGUAAAGCUGAGGACGUGUCUUGAACUGCGAGUAUCGGACGAAAAAGCAUCGGCUAACUCCGUGCCAGCAGCCGCGGUAAUACGGAGGAUGCAAGCGUUAUCCGGAUUUAUUGGGUUUAAAGGGUGCGUAGGCGGAUAGAUAAGUUAGCGGUGAAAUGUACGGGCUUAACACGUGAACUGCCUCUGAUACUGUUUCACUAGAGUGUAGGAGAGGUAGGCGGAAUGUAUGGUGUAGCGGUGAAAUGCGUAGAUAUCAUGCAGAACACCGAUUGCGAAGGCAGCUUACCGGUCGAUAACUGACGGUGAGGCACGAAAGCGUGGGGAGCAAACAGGAUUAGAUACCCGUGUAGUC